UCAAAGCUGCGGCAAUAAUCCCAGAUAGGUAGAUAUGGGGUAUUUGACUCACAGCUGCGGCACACAUGCAUAACGCUCAUGAUGAUCAAUAGUCUAGUCCACCCUCGCAAAUCAACGUUUCCUUCGGUAUAUAUAUACAUAUACAUAUAGUUAUCUGCAUAUCGGAAACUCUAAUCUCGAACCUUUUUACAGAGAGCAGGAGAAGCAAUUUGCAGCAGGCGAUUUACUCCGAAUUAUUAAGCAAGUGACGAUUUAUAGUCGAUUCGACAUUUUUUGAAGAAAUUUUGAAAAGCUAAAAAGUCCAGAUCGAACUCAGUCUGCAUUUUUAUGCUGUUUAUCCUUUCAGCUUUUUGGUGAUAGCAGCGCCGAUUCAGAUUUUAACCCAAAACUAGGACAGAUGCCUGCUGGUGAAGCUCAUCAUGCUCUCUCCAUUGACGAAAGAUUGGCCAAGCCUCAGUAGUACUCCAAUUGAUCAAGAGUGUUGUGUAUUUAAAGUGCACCGCAGUUUACGCCAGAUAAAUCCCGCGGCAUAUGAACCUGAUCUGCUUGCCAUCGGUCCUUAUCACCGUGGAAAGGAUCACCUUAGUUUUAUGGAAAAGCACAAAUUGAUAAUUCUCCAACGAAUGCUUAAAAGAAGGAAUGAGAACAGCGCAAAAAGAUACAUCACAGCCAUGAUAGAAAAGGAAGAAAGAGCUCGUAGAUUCUAUGCAGAUCAGUUCCCUGAAUUAUCCAAAGUUGAGUUUGUAGAAAUGAUGCUACUUGAUGGGUGUUUCAUCAUUGAGUUGUUCCGUGAUAGGUCCCAACACAGAGGAUAAACUAAAUAUGCUAGGAUAGUUGUUCUCUUCGGGUGAGAAGGUACCACAAUUUGACUCAACAAUGAUUGAUGCUUCAUUAAUAAUUCUCUUCUACUUAAAUAGCAGAAUUACACCGAAAUAAAAGGAAACAAUAAAGCAAACUUGCGGACUAACUUGCGGAACAAUAAUGGAAAAUGCGGACUGACUUGCGGACUAAGAACCGAAACUGCAGCUCACGAAACAGAGCCUAAAACAGAAUAAAAACAGAGCUUAAAAAUAGAAUGCUUAAAAAUAGAAUGACACUAACGGAAAUCAUCCGCUUCGUGCGGACUUCAUGCGCGCUUCAUGCGUAUAAGCUCACUGACCAGUUAUGCAUGCUACGCUCGUGCGCACUUCAUGCGCGCCUCAUGCGUAUAUGCUCACGGACCCAGUCCUGCUCACUGACCCAGUCACGCUGCAUGCCUUCUUCACG
This is an RNA transcript of Juglans regia (Persian walnut), 1266 nucleotides long. It is a transcript of the gene named UPF0481 protein At3g47200-like, with no coding region annotated. The record is from RefSeq and is a predicted model, not a curated record. Lineage: Eukaryota; Viridiplantae; Streptophyta; Magnoliopsida; Fagales; Juglandaceae. The transcript is spliced from 4 exons.